Cyprinus carpio carpio is the source of this 3760-nucleotide long non-coding RNA. Lineage: Eukaryota; Metazoa; Chordata; Actinopteri; Cypriniformes; Cyprinidae. The record is from Ensembl.
CAUAACGUGAGUCAGGUAAUGAGGAAGGAGAGGUAUCGCACAUGUUGAGAGUGUGUUCUGCCAGCGAGGUCUGCUGUCUCAAUGAAAAAGUGCGUCAUCAUUUUGGAGACUACAAUAUUCGUUGUAAUAUAAGGCCCAAAGUGUAGAGUGACGACGAUUUUUUUAUUAUUAUAUGACGUGCUUUAUUUUCUGUUCUUAUUUGAAGUGCAUCUUUGUUUUGUUGUUUUCCGUGAUCCUGUGAGUCAUCACUCAGUAAGCCGUGUGUGAUGAUGGCUUAGCGGCUAUAGAGACAAUUGACUUUAUGAACAAAACAGCUGUGUUUAUGAAGCUAUUAGACGUUUGUGGUGGACUUCGGAAUUGCGUGAGAAACCGGACAGAUCGUGUGUGUCAUCGUUGGACGUAGAUCGACUGGAUUCAUCUCAUGUUCAAGACUGAUCGCGAGGGGAUGCUGAGUGUUCAUGUUGUGAGGAACCUAAUAUCGUUUCGCUGUCAUCGGAUGAACAUUUUGGGAGAGAGUGCUACCAGCAAAGACGGGGCAGGUGCAACUGCCACUUCAGAUCCUGAAGGUGAUGGAGAUGUACUGUAGACAUCUCUACAAUGGACCCUGAGCCAGAAGUGGUCCAUCGUGGAUCACAGUGCAACAUAAGAUGUUUACAUCGUUCAUUAGCUGUUCAGGUAAAGCCUCAGAUGGUGGAUGUGGGGACUCAAACCGAAAGGUUUGAGCAUCGCAGAUCAACUCCACUGGCCAGUCCUGAACAAAGUGAUGAUGAAUGGUCAUUUUCUGAUAUCAUCAACCAUUCUGGUGAUAUGUCAUGGAGUCCAGGGGAGGAGAUGUUGAGCGGGUCCUAUGAGGAGGAACCAGAAGAGCUGGAAUCUCUCAGUGACCCAAAUGCUGUUGACAAGUUCAUUGUUUGCCAGAGGCAGUUGCUGUCCUUGUUCACGGUUUGCCCUACAUGCUGUGGGGAAACCCAGGGACACAUAAUGCACCCGGAAGGAACUUUCAUAAAAGUCAAGCAGGCCUGCGGAACUUGAGGUUAUGAGCGUUACUGGCAAAACCAAGAGAAGGUGCAUCGAAACAUCCACUUCUCAGGUUGCAUGGCUACUCAGACAAUCAGGAUGCUGAAGCUGUUUGGACUGCAGUGCAUAAGUCCCGGCAAUUGCUGACACAACACAUGAAGCUGUUCAGGUAAAACCUCAGAUGGUGGAUGUGGGGACUCAAACCGAAAGGUUUGAGCAUCGCAGAUCAACUCCACUGGCCAGUCCUGAACAAAGUGAUGAUGAAUGGUCAUUUUCUGAUAUCAUCAACCAUUCUGGUGAUAUGUCAUGGAGUCCAGGGGAGGAGAUGUUGAGCGGGUCCUCUGAGGAGGAACCAGAAGAGCUGGAAUCUCUCAGUGACCCAAAUGCUGUUGACAAGUUCAUUGUUUGCCAGAGGCAGUUGCUGUCCUUGUUCACGGUUUGCCCUACAUGCUGUGGGGAAACCCAGGGACACAUAAUGCACCCGGAAGGAACUUUCAUAAAAGUCAAGCAGGCCUGCGGAACUUGAGGUUAUGAGCGUUACUGGCAAAACCAAGAGAAGGUGCAUCGAAACAUCCACUUCUCAGGUUGCAUGGCUACUCAGACAAUCAGGAUGCUGAAGCUGUUUGGACUGCAGUGCAUAAGUCCCGGCAAUUUUUCCGCCAUCAGCGCUAUUACACUAUCCCUACCAUUGUGCGGGCCUGGAGGAAUGAGCAGAGGGGGAUCAUCAGGGAGUUGAAGGAGACUGGGGUGGAUUGAUCCUGUCUGGUGACUGCAGAUCAGAUUCUCCUGGACACUGUGCCAAAUAUGGUAGCUACUCCUUGAUCGAGGAUCGAAUUAACAAGGUUUUGGAUGUUCAACUUGUCCAAAGCUCAGAAGUCCCAAGCAGCUCUUGGUGUGAGCUAGAGGGUCUAAAGCGGAGUAUGCAGUUCCUGAUGGACCAAGACAUGCAAGUGUCUGCUCUGAUAUAAGGCAGAAAUCGGCAGGUAAUGAUGCUAGGAGAGAUCUAAAGCUGAACAGCAUUGACAGGCACAGUAUCACUCAAAAUAAAUUCUAAAUUCUAUAAAAUCAGUUUGUUUUAGGCAACACAGUCUCACCCCUAUUCGUCACAUACUGCCGUUUGGUCAUUUCCCCCUCAUGUCCAUAAGCCGACGUUGAGGGUACCCCCUAUUCGUCGCUUGACAACGUAGAGGGUCGUCUGAUAGAUUUGAGUGCAAAUCCCUCAUCUUUGAAUUUUGACGAAAUGGGGUUAUCCAUCCAGCGGUUUGCCUGCGCUGGAAAGUAUGGUUUCAGGUGAUUGAUUUUAUGCUGCAAAUGUGUAUUUUGUAGUAGCGUGCGGCGCAAAUACUGUUAAAAUCAUUCAUUGGUGUGGUGACUAUACAUUUUCGUGGGGCAGAAACCGGUAUCACGACUUUUUCUGUCUCUUUUUUUAUAUAAUUUUGGGCUAACGUUACAUUAAAAUGACAUAUUUACAGGACUGUAUAUUUGCUGUAUGCUUAAUACAUGCCUUAAUUUAGGUGGGAUAUUUUAUAAUUUUCGAUCACAUACUGCUGUUUGGUCAUUUCCCCCUCACGUCCAUAAGCCGACGUUGAGGGUACCCCCUAUUCGUCGCUUGACAACGUAGAGGGUCGUCUGAUAGAUUUGAGUGCAAAUCCCUCAUCUUUGAAUUUUGACGAAAUGGGGUUAUCCAUCCAGCGGUUUGCCUGCGCUGGAAAGUAUGGUUUCAGGGGAUUAAUUUUAAUGCUGCAAAUUGUGUAUUUUGCAGUAGCGUGCAGCGCAUAUACUGUUACAGUCAUUCAUUGGUGCGGUGACUAUACAUUUUUGUGGGGCAGAAACCCUUGUCUAAAUCGGUAUCACGACUUUUUCUCUUUUUUAAUAUAAUUUAGGGCUACAUUAAAACGACAUAAUUGCACGACUGCAUAUUUGCUGUAGGCUUAAAACAUGCCUUAAUUUAGGUGGGAUAUUUUAUAAUUGUCGAUGGUAUUUCAAUUUGCAAUGGCUUAUAAUGAGCCUACAACUUUGCUUUUUUUGCGACAAAAAAAGAAUAGUCUACUUUUAUAGAUCUUUCAUCUCAAUACUGAUUAUGAAGUUGUGAAAAAUUAAAUAGCCUACUGCAGAAAUGUUUAUAUUGCUUAAUAUGGACAUAUCCUUUGGCAAAGAGAUGGAUGCAUUCUGGGAAGUGAUGUGUUUAAAUGUAAUGGCUACAUAUACCCGUGUUUCCUUCACUUAGACAUUUAUGCUGACCCUUUAAAAUUUUGAGCAAGGAUAUAAAAUAUUAAGACUGUACUUUUUCAUUAUGAUUGAUAUUUUGGCGCAAUUUUGUGCAACACGUCACUGUGUGCGACCAUCGCAGAAACCAUUGCCCAGCGCGAUUCCACCACGGUUCCUUAAUCCCUGUCCUUUUAAAAAAACAGCACCUCAUUACAUCGGGAAAAAAAAGGCACUUUUAAGAGCCACAUUUGUUUUGUAUCUUGUUACUCUCUCUACUGUUGUAUUGUGUUCUCUCUCUCUCUUGCUGUCUUACUGUCUCUCCCUCCCCUCUGAGUGGGGUUUUUGUUUGUUUGUUUUGUCUUUUUUUGUCCCUGAGUGUUUAUAGUGUGUUUAUAUUUUGUGCCAUGUCUGAUCCUGAGAUGGACCGUCUCCUGAAUGAGAUGAGUGACCUUGUUGAUCAGGCUGAACAUCAAGCUCACCUCCAACAGCUCAUUAGCAUGCACCAGGAAGCAGAACCAUCCACCGGUCAGCCUUC